Molecule: non-coding RNA, 156 nt
Filed under: uncultured Eubacterium sp.
Lineage: Bacteria; Bacillati; Bacillota; Clostridia; Eubacteriales; Eubacteriaceae
Description: Lysine riboswitch
Rfam family: Lysine riboswitch aptamer
About the family: Riboswitches are metabolite binding domains within certain messenger RNAs that serve as precision sensors for their corresponding targets. Allosteric rearrangement of mRNA structure is mediated by ligand binding, and this results in modulation of gene expression. This family includes riboswitches that sense lysine in a number of genes involved in lysine metabolism, including lysC.
Source: RNAcentral
AUGAGGCGCGGAUAUCAUAAGUAAGCUCCGGAAAUUUCGAUACAGCGGAAGGGGCCAAAAGGGGUAUCUGCCGAAGCAUCUGCCGGGCUGUGUGGCGGCGGGUGCUGGGGCGUACUGAAAUACGGUGCGGACUGUCACAUAGUGUGGAGUGCUUUG